Molecule: non-coding RNA, 27 nt
Filed under: Mus musculus (house mouse)
Lineage: Eukaryota; Metazoa; Chordata; Mammalia; Rodentia; Muridae
Source: RNAcentral
UUCAUGCCUUCAAAACUAGUACCAACU